AUUCGUGGCCAAAGCAACUUGAGAAUGGCUGAUCUCUGAAGCUGAGCGGGUUGGGGCUGGUUAGCAUUUGGAUGGGAGACCACUGGAACACCUGAUGCCACGGAGG
RNAcentral lists this ribosomal RNA (106 nucleotides) under Periophthalmus magnuspinnatus. The record is from RNAcentral. Lineage: Eukaryota; Metazoa; Chordata; Actinopteri; Gobiiformes; Gobiidae.